CUACCCAUGAGCAGGAUGAAGCGAAAGUAAAAUUUCGUGGAGGUCCGAACCCACGAGCGUUGAAAAGCUCGGGGAUGACUUGUGGGUAGCGGUGAAAUUCCAAUCGAGCCCGGAGAUAGCUGGUUCUCCCCGAAAUAGCUUUAGGGCUAGCCUCAAGGUGAGAGAUACGGAGGUAGAGCACUGAAUGUCCUAGGGGGUAUUGCACCUACCGAAGACUAUCAAACUCCGAAUGCCGUCAUCUUAUACUUGGGAGUCAGACUGUGGGUGAUAAGAUUCAUAGUCGAAAGGGCAACAGCCCAGAUCGUCAGCUAAGGUCCCUAAAUGUAAGUUAAGUGGUAAAGGAUGUGGGAUUGCACAGACAACCAGGAUGUUGGCUUAGAAGCAGCCACUCAUUCAAAGAGUGCGUAAUAGCUCACUGGUCGAGUGAUCCUGCGCCGAAGAUUUCCGGGGCUAAAACUUACUACCGAAGCUACGGCAUCAGUAAUGAGGGGUAGGGGAGCUUCCCAUACGGGUUGAAGCAUGACCGUAAGGACAUGUGGACAGUAUGGGAGUGAGAAUGUUGGCAUGAGUAGCGAGAUGUGGGUGAGAAUCCCACAGGCCGUAAACCCAAGGUUUCCAGGGGAAGGUUCGUCCGCCCUGGGUUAGUCGGGACCUAAGCUGAGGC
Molecule: ribosomal RNA, 664 nt
Filed under: Clostridioides difficile
Lineage: Bacteria; Bacillati; Bacillota; Clostridia; Peptostreptococcales; Peptostreptococcaceae
Description: bacterial LSU rRNA
Rfam family: Bacterial large subunit ribosomal RNA
Source: RNAcentral